GUUUAUAAAGUAUAUUGUACGUUUAAUUUCCAAUUAAAGGGUGAAAUUAUUGUACAUA
RNAcentral lists this transfer RNA (58 nucleotides) under Pisaura mirabilis. RNAcentral describes it as "tRNA-Gly". The record is from RNAcentral. Lineage: Eukaryota; Metazoa; Arthropoda; Arachnida; Araneae; Pisauridae.